UGGGGAAUUUUGGACAAUGGGCGAAAGCCUGAUCCAGCAAUGCCGCGUGUGUGAAGAAGGCCUUCGGGUUGUAAAGCACUUUUGUCCGGAAAGAAAUCCUUGGCUCUAAUACAGUCGGGGGAUGACGGUACCGGAAGAAUAAGCACCGGCUAACUACGUGCCAGCAGCCGCGGUAAUACGUAGGGUGCAAGCGUUAAUCGGAAUUACUGGGCGUAAAGCGUGCGCAGGCGGUUUGCUAAGACCGAUGUGAAAUCCCCGGGCUCAACCUGGGAACUGCAUUGGUGACUGGCAGGCUAGAGUAUGGCAGAGGGGGGUAGAAUUCCACGUGUAGCAGUGAAAUGCGUAGAGAUGUGGAGGAAUACCGAUGGCGAAGGCAGCCCCCUGGGCCAAUACUGACGCUCAUGCACGAAAGCGUGGGGAGCAAACAGGAUUAGAUACCCUGGUGGUCCACGCCCUAAACGAUGUCAACUAGUUGUUGGGGAUUCAUUUCCUUAGUAACGUAGCUAACGCGUGAAGUUGACCGCCUGGGGAGUACGGUCGCAAGAUUAAAACUUAAAGGAAUUGAC
This 566-nucleotide ribosomal RNA is filed under the name uncultured bacterium. Its description in RNAcentral is "partial 16S ribosomal RNA". It matches the Rfam family "Bacterial small subunit ribosomal RNA", at positions 355 to 914 of the family's 1533-position model. The record is from RNAcentral.